GGCUUCGGCCCUGGGGACAGCGGCGAACGGGUGAGUAACACGUGAGUAAUCUGCCCUCGACACCGGGAUAGCCCGGGGAAACCCGGAUUAAUACCGGAUAGCCUUUCGAGCUCUCGGGCUCGUCAGAAAAGGAUGGCUUCGGCUUUCGGUUGAGGAUGAGCUUGCGGCGGAUUAGCUUGUUGGUGGGGUAAUGGCUCACCAAGGCGACGACGGGUAGCCGGCCUGAGAGGGUGACCGGCCACACUGGGACUGAGACACGGCCCAGACUCCUACGGGAGGCAGCAGUGGGGAAUAUUGCACAAUGGGCGCAAGCCUGAUGCAGCGACGCCGCGUGAGGGAUGACGGCCUUCGGGUUGUAAACCUCUUUCAGUAGGGAAGAAGCGAAAGUGACGGUACCUGCAGAAGAAGCGCCGGCUAACUACGUGCCAGCAGCCGCGGUAAUACGUAGGGCGCAAGCGUUAUCCGGAAUUAUUGGGCGUAAAGAGCUCGUAGGCGGUUUGUCGCGUCUGCCGUGAAAGUCCGGGGCUCAACUCCGGAUCUGCGGUGGGUACGGGCAGACUAGAGUGAUGUAGGGGAGACUGGAAUUCCUGGUGUAGCGGUGAAAUGCGCAGAUAUCAGGAGGAACACCGAUGGCGAAGGCAGGUCUCUGGGCAUUA
RNAcentral lists this ribosomal RNA (656 nucleotides) under uncultured Actinomycetes bacterium. Its description in RNAcentral is "bacterial SSU rRNA". It matches the Rfam family "Bacterial small subunit ribosomal RNA", at positions 76 to 738 of the family's 1533-position model. The record is from RNAcentral. Lineage: Bacteria; Bacillati; Actinomycetota; Actinomycetes.